This 468-nucleotide ribosomal RNA is filed under the name uncultured bacterium. Its description in RNAcentral is "partial 16S ribosomal RNA". It matches the Rfam family "Bacterial small subunit ribosomal RNA", at positions 28 to 507 of the family's 1533-position model. The record is from RNAcentral.
GAUGAACGCUGGCAGCGUGCUUAACACAUGCAAGUCGAACGGUGAAGGCGGAGCUUGCUCUGCUGGAUCAGUGGCGAACGGGUGAGUAACACGUGAGCAAUCCGCCCCUGACUCUGGGAUAAGCGCUGGAAACGGCGUCUAAUACUGGAUACGAGCUGCGAAGGCAUCUUCAGCAGCUGGAAAGAAUUUCGGUCAGGGAUGAGCUCGCGGCCUAUCAGCUUGUUGGUGAGGUAAUGGCUCACCAAGGCGUCGACGGGUAGCCGGCCUGAGAGGGUGACCGGCCACACUGGGACUGAGACACGGCCCAGACUCCUACGGGAGGCAGCAGUGGGGAAUAUUGCACAAUGGGCGAAAGCCUGAUGCAGCAACGCCGCGUGAGGGACGACGGCCUUCGGGUUGUAAACCUCUUUUAGCAGGGAAGAAGCGAAAGUGACGGUACCUGCAGAAAAAGCGCCGGCUAACUACGUG